AAUUUAAUUUAGGACCUUAAUUUUUUAGUUAAAAAGCUAAAAUAUAUUUAUUGGACGAGAAGACCCUAUAGAUCUUUAUAAUUUAAUAGGUUUUAUAAUUUAGAGUAUUGCUUAUUUUAAUUUAAUGGAAUUAUUUGAUUGGGGUGAUUGUAGAAUUUUAUUAACUUCUAUUAUUUGUUUUUCAAGAAUUAUUGUUUUAUUGAUCUCAUAACUUAUGAUUAAAAGAUUAAGUUACCUUAGGGAUAACAGCGUAAUUUCUUCGGAAAAGUUCAUAUUGAUGAGGAA
This 285-nucleotide ribosomal RNA is filed under the name Rhodnius ecuadoriensis. Its description in RNAcentral is "partial 16S ribosomal RNA". The record is from RNAcentral. Lineage: Eukaryota; Metazoa; Arthropoda; Insecta; Hemiptera; Reduviidae.